Oncorhynchus keta (chum salmon) is the source of this 2474-nucleotide long non-coding RNA. RefSeq lists it as uncharacterized. The record is from RefSeq and is a predicted model, not a curated record. Lineage: Eukaryota; Metazoa; Chordata; Actinopteri; Salmoniformes; Salmonidae. The transcript is spliced from 3 exons.
GCUUCUUCCCCAAUUACAUCUCACCUACAUUAUUAUUAUUAUGGCUUCCUUGUUUGGAAUACUGUGUAGUAUAAUUCCCAAGCCAUUGUCUAUGUGCUGCUACACAUUCUAGUGAGUGACUUCCUUUCAUGCAAUGUCCUGUAAAACUUUUUUUUACUUAGAGUUUUUUACAUUUUUUUUAUUUAAACUUUAUUUAACCAGGUAGGCUAGUUGAGAACACCUUUAUUUAACCAGGUAGGCUAGUUGAGAACACCUUUAUUUAACCAGGUAGGCUAGUUGAGAACACCUUUAUUUAACCAGGUAGGCUAGUUGAGAACACCUUUAUUUAACCAGGUAGGCUAGUUGAGAACACCUUUAUUUAACCAGGUAGGCUAGUUGAGAACACCUUUAUUUAACCAGGUAGGCUAGUUGAGAACACCUUUAUUUAACCAGGUAGGCUAGUUGAGAACACCUUUAUUUAACCAGGUAGGCUAGUUGAGAACACCUUUAUUUAACCAGGUAGGCUAGUUGAGAACACCUUUAUUUAACCAGGUAGGCUAGUUGAGAACACCUGUAUUUAACCAGGUAGGCUAGUUGAGAACACCUUUAUUUAACCAGGUAGGCUAGUUGAGAACACCUUUAUUUAACCAGGUAGGCUAGUUGAGAACACCUUUAUUUAAACAGGUAGGCUAGUUGAGAACACCUUUAUUUAACCAGGUAGGCUAGUUGAGAACACCUUUAUUUAACCAGGUAGGCUAGUUGAGAACACCUUUAUUUAACCAGGUAGGCUAGUUGAGAACACCUUUAUUUAACCAGGUAGGCUAGUUGAGAACCUUUAUUUAACCAGGUAGGCUAGUUGAGAACACCUUUAUUUAACCAGGUAGGCUAGUUGAGAACACCUGUAUUUAACCAGGUAGGCUAGUUGAGAACACCUGUAUUUAACCAGGUAGGCUAGUUGAGAACACCUUUAUUUAACCAGGUAGGCUAGUUGAGAACACCUUUAUUUAACCAGGUAGGCUAGUUGAGAACACCUUUAUUUAAACAGGUAGGCUAGUUGAGAACACCUUUAUUUAACCAGGUAGGCUAGUUGAGAACAACUUUAUUUAACCAGGUAGGCUAGUUGAGAACACCUUUAUUUAACCAGGUAGGCUAGUUGAGAACACCUUUAUUUAACCAGGUAGGCUAGUUGAGAACAACUUUAUUUAACCAGGUAGGCUAGUUGAGAACACCUUUAUUUAACCAGGUAGGCUAGUUGAGAACACCUUUAUUUAACCAGGUAGGCUAGUUGAGAACAACUUUAUUUAACCAGGUAGGCUAGUUGAGAACACCUUUAUUUAACCAGGUAGGCUAGUUGAGAACACCUUUAUUUAACCAGGUAGGCUAGUUGAGAACACCUUUAUUUAACCAGGUAGGCUAGUUGAGAACACCUUUAUUUAACCAGGUAGGCUAGUUGAGAACACCUUUAUUUAACCAGGUAGGCUAGUUGAGAACACCUUUAUUUAACCAGGUAGGCUAGUUGAGAACACCUUUAUUUAACCAGGUAGGCUAGUUGAGAACAAGUUCUCAUUUACAACUGCGACCUGGCCAAGAUUAAGCAAAGCAGUGUGACACAGACAACAACACAGAGUUACACAUGUAUAAAUAAACAAUAAACAAGCCAAUAACACAAUAAACAAGUCAAUGACACAGUAGAAAAAAAUAAUGUUUAUAUACAGUGUGUGCAACAGGCAUGAGGAGGUAGGCAAUAAAUAGGCCAUAGGAGUGAAUAAUUACAAUUUAUCAGAUUAACACUGGAGUGAUAGAUGAGCAGAUGAUGAUGUGCAAGUAGAGAUACUGGUGAGUAAAGUAUAUGUCCUGAUAACUAUUAAUUUAAUUUCCAUGACUUCUGAAUUGACUGACCUCCAUGUCUUUUGAGAGACCUCCUCAUCGUUUCUCUUUGCUUAUUUGAGCUGUUCUUGCCAUAAUAUGGACUUGGUCUUUUACCAAAUAAGGCUAUCUUCUGUAUACCACCCCUACCUUGUCACAACACAACUGAUUGGCUCAAGCGCACGAAGAAGGAAAGGAAUUCCACAAAUGAAAAUUUUAAGAAGGCACACUUGUUAAUUGAAAUGCAUUCCAGGUGACUACCUCAUGAAGCCGGUUGAGAGAAUGUCAAGAGUGUGCAAAGCUUUCAUCAAGGCAAAGUCUGGCUACUUUGAACAAAUAGUAAAUAAUAAAUAAAUAAAAUAUAUUUUGAUUUAACACUUUUUUUGAUAACUACUUGUUUCUGUGUUAUUUCAUAGUUUUGAUGUUUUCUCUAUUAUUCUACAAAAAUAAACCUUGAAUGGGUAGGUGUGUCCAAACAUUUGACUGGUACUGCACAUUUGUUUUACUUGCUUGGAAGUUGAAUACUGCGGUGAAUAUUCAGGUGUAGUGCAUGUAUUCAUGUCAGUCCCAAACCAUUGCAAAUUAACUUACAGUCCCAAAACCAGAUCAUACUAAUUGUUGAUUAUUAU